Non-coding RNA from Microcebus murinus (gray mouse lemur), 629 nucleotides. The record is from the annotation of a RefSeq genome assembly. Lineage: Eukaryota; Metazoa; Chordata; Mammalia; Primates; Cheirogaleidae.
CAGGGGCUGUGUGCACCAUGGCCUGGGCUCCUGUCCUGCUCGUGCUCCUCUCUCACUGCACAGGUUCCCUGUCCCAGCCUGUGGUGACUCAGCCGCCCUCCCUCUCUGCAUCUCCUGGGGCAUCAGCCAGACUUACCUGCACCCUGAGCAGUGGCUUCAGUGUUGGCAGCUAUGCUAUAUCCUGGCACCAGCAGAAGCCAGGGAGUCCGCCCCGGUACCUGCUGUACUACCACACAGACUCGAACAAGCACCAGGGCUCCGGGGUCCCCAGCCGCUUCUCUGGCUCCAAAGAUGCCUCGGCCAACGCAGGGAUUCUGCACGUCUCUGGGCUGCAGCCUGAGGACGAGGCUGACUAUUACUGUGCCGUGUGGCACAACGGUGCUUGUCACAGUGACACAGUUGGAUGGGGAAGUGGGACGAAAACCCCAGCCUGGGGUGGCGAGUCCAAGGCAGGGGAUGGAGAAGGCGACCUGUGGAUCCCUGCAGUCCCUGGUGACCCCACACGAGGGCCCCUGGGGAGCAAACGCUCCAGCGCGCCCCACUACCUUUCCCAGGUGGCCAAAGGGCCAGAAGCAGGUUCAUCUGCCAGGAGGGCUCAGCUGUGCAGUGCACAUGCGCAGAGCGUGUGA